RNAcentral lists this ribosomal RNA (450 nucleotides) under uncultured bacterium. Its description in RNAcentral is "partial 16S ribosomal RNA". It matches the Rfam family "Bacterial small subunit ribosomal RNA", at positions 338 to 795 of the family's 1533-position model. The record is from RNAcentral.
CCUACGGGGGGCUGCAGUGGGGAAUAUUGGACAAUGGGCGCAAGCCUGAUCCAGCAAUGCCGCGUGUGUGAAGAAGGCCUGCGGGUUGUAAAGCACUUUAAGCCGGAAAGAAGGCUGCAAGGCUAAUAUCCUUGUCGAUUGACGUUACCGGCCGAAUAAGCACCGGCUAACUCCGUGCCAGCAGCCGCGGUAAUACGGAGGGUGAGUGCGUUAAUCGGAAUGCGCGUAGGUAAAGCGCGCGUAGGGGGGUGAAAGCCCUGGGCUUAACCUGGGAACGGCAGUGGAAACUGGAGGGCUAGAGUAUGGUAGAGGAGGGUGGAAUUUCCGGUGUAGCAGUGAAAUGCGUAGAGAUCGGAAGGAACACCAGUGGCGAAGGCGGCUCUCUGGACCAAUACUGACGCUGAGGUGCGAAAGCGUGGGGAGCAAACAGGAUUAGAUACCCCGGUAGUC